Molecule: non-coding RNA, 72 nt
Organism: Bos taurus (domestic cattle)
Lineage: Eukaryota; Metazoa; Chordata; Mammalia; Artiodactyla; Bovidae
Source: Rfam
UCCCUGGUGGCUCAGACGGUAAAGCGUCUGCCCGCAAUGCAGGAGACCCGGGUUCGAUUCCUAGGUCGGGAA